Molecule: ribosomal RNA, 538 nt
Filed under: uncultured Erythrobasidiales
Lineage: Eukaryota; Fungi; Basidiomycota; Cystobasidiomycetes; Erythrobasidiales
Description: eukaryotic LSU rRNA
Rfam family: 5.8S ribosomal RNA (bases 170-323)
Source: RNAcentral
CUGCGGAGGAUCAUUAAUGAAAAUAUCAAGGAGCUGUUGCUGACUUCGGUCGUGCACGCUUCNUUUAUUUCAUCCACUCACACCUGUGCACUUUAUUAAUGGAGGGGUAACACUUUCCAUUACUAUCACACACUUGUACCUUCAGAACGUCUUGAUAAUAAAAAGUAACAACUUUCAACAACGGAUCUCUUGGCUCUCRCAUCGAUGAARAACGCAGCGAAAUGCGAUAAGUAAUGUGAAUUGCAGAAUUCAGUGAAUCAUCGAAUCUUUGAACGCACCUUGCACUCUUUGGUAUUCCGAAGAGUAUGCCUGUUCGAGUGUCAUGAACCUCUCAACUGUAACUUUUAGUUGCAGCUUGGAUAUGGGGCACGUUGGCAUUUGUUGUCGACCGCUCUGAAAUGUAUUAGCCACGAAUGUUAAUCUUCUUAAGCGUAAUAAUUACAAUGCGCUGAUAAGAUUUAAGUCGCGGCUUACAAAACCUCAUUUCAUUCUAUUUGACCUCGAAUCAGGUAGGACUACCCGCUGAACUUAAGCAUAU